RNAcentral lists this ribosomal RNA (444 nucleotides) under uncultured bacterium. RNAcentral describes it as "partial 16S ribosomal RNA". It matches the Rfam family "Bacterial small subunit ribosomal RNA", at positions 354 to 795 of the family's 1533-position model. The record is from RNAcentral.
GUGGGGAAUAUUGGACAAUGGGCGCAACUCUGACGCAGCCAUGCCGCGUGCAGGAAGAAGGCGCUACGCGUUGUAAACUGCUUUUAACCGGGAAGAAACCCCAGGACGUGUCCUGGGUUGACGGUACCGGAGGAAUAAGCACCGGCUAACUUCGUGCCAGCAGCCGCGGUAAUACGAAGGGUGCAAGCGUUAUCCGGAUUCAUUGGGUUUAAAGGGUGCGUAGGCGGAGCGUUAAGUCAGUGGUGAAAUCCUGCAGCUUAACUGUAGACUUGCCAUUGAUACUGGCGCUCUUGAGUGCGCUUGAAGUGGGCGGAAUGUGCCGUGUAGCGGUGAAAUGCUUAGAUAUGGCACAGAACACCAAUUGCGAAGGCAGCUCACUAAGGCGAUACUGACGCUGAGGCACGAAAGCGUGGGGAUCGAACAGGAUUAGAUACCCUGGUAUCC